RNAcentral lists this ribosomal RNA (492 nucleotides) under uncultured bacterium. RNAcentral's name for it is "partial 16S ribosomal RNA". It matches the Rfam family "Bacterial small subunit ribosomal RNA", at positions 30 to 507 of the family's 1533-position model. The record is from RNAcentral.
AUUGAACGCUGGCGGCAUGCUUUACACAUGCAAGUCGAACGGUAACAGGCCUUCGGGUGCUGACGAGUGGCGAACGGGUGAGUAAUGCAUCGGAACGUGCCCAGAGGUGGGGGAUAACGCAGCGAAAGCUGUGCUAAUACCGCAUGUGAUCUGAGGAUGAGAGCGGGGGACCAGGCAGCAAUGUUUGGCCUCGCGCCUUUGGAGCGGCCGAUGUCAGAUUAGGUAGUUGGUGGGGUAAAGGCCUACCAAGCCGACGAUCUGUAGCUGGUCUGAGAGGACGACCAGCCACACUGGGACUGAGACACGGCCCAGACUCCUACGGGAGGCAGCAGUGGGGAAUUUUGGACAAAGGGCGCAAGCCUGAUCCAGCAAUGCCGCGUGCGGGAAGAAGGCCUUCGGGUUGUAAACCGCUUUUGUACGGAACGAAAAGGCUCUGGCUAAUACCUGGGGCUGAUGACGGUACCGUAAGAAUAAGCACCGGCUAACUACGUG